RNAcentral lists this ribosomal RNA (541 nucleotides) under uncultured archaeon. Its description in RNAcentral is "bacterial SSU rRNA". It matches the Rfam family "Archaeal small subunit ribosomal RNA", at positions 457 to 997 of the family's 1478-position model. The record is from RNAcentral.
GCCAGCAGCCGCGGUAACACCGGCGGCCCGAGUGGUGAUCGUGAUUAUUGGGUCUAAAGGGUCCGUAGCCGGUUUGGUCAGUCCUCCGGGAAAUCUGAUAGCUCAACUAUUAGGCUUUCGGGGGAUACCGCCAGACUUGGAACCGGGAGAGGUAAGAGGUACUACAGGGGUAGGAGUGAAAUCUUGUAAUCCCUGUGGGACCACCUGUGGCGAAGGCGUCUUACCAGAACGGGUUCGACGGUGAGGGACGAAAGCUGGGGGCACGAACCGGAUUAGAUACCCGGGUAGUCCCAGCCGUAAACGAUGCUCGCUAGGUGUCAGGCAUGGCGCGACCGUGUCUGGUGCCGCAGGGAAGCCGUGAAGCGAGCCACCUGGGAAGUACGGCCGCAAGGCUGAAACUUAAAGGAAUUGGCGGGGGAGCACAACAACGGGUGGAGCCUGCGGUUUAAUUGGACUCAACGCCGGACAACUCACCGGGGGCGACAGCAAUAUGUAGGCCAAGCUGAAGACUUUGCCUGAAUCGCUGAGAGGAGGUGCAUGG